GCCGGUGUAGCUCAGACGGUUAGAGCACGCGGCUCAUAUCCGCGGCGUCCGGGGUUCGAUUCCCUGCACCGGCACCA
Molecule: transfer RNA, 77 nt
Filed under: Acidobacteriota bacterium
Lineage: Bacteria; Pseudomonadati; Acidobacteriota
Description: Acidobacteria bacterium (anaerobic digester metagenome) tRNA-Met
Rfam family: tRNA
About the family: Transfer RNA (tRNA) molecules are approximately 80 nucleotides in length.
Source: RNAcentral